RNAcentral lists this transfer RNA (72 nucleotides) under Anaeramoeba flamelloides. RNAcentral describes it as "tRNA-Val". It matches the Rfam family "tRNA". Rfam says of the family: Transfer RNA (tRNA) molecules are approximately 80 nucleotides in length. Their secondary structure includes four short double-helical elements and three loops (D, anti-codon, and T loops). The record is from RNAcentral. Lineage: Eukaryota; Anaeramoebidae.
AGUCUUGUGGCGCAGUGGUAGCGCGUUCGCUUUACACGCGAAAGGUCCACGGUUCGAAACCGUGUAAGACUA